Molecule: ribosomal RNA, 420 nt
Filed under: uncultured bacterium
Lineage: Bacteria
Description: bacterial SSU rRNA
Rfam family: Bacterial small subunit ribosomal RNA
Source: RNAcentral
AACGCGAAGAACCUUACCAAGGCUUGACAUAUACCGGAAAGCAUUAGAGAUAGUGCCCCCCUUGUGGUCGGUAUACAGGUGGUGCAUGGCUGUCGUCAGCUCGUGUCGUGAGAUGUUGGGUUAAGUCCCGCAACGAGCGCAACCCUUGUCCUGUGUUGCCAGCAUGCCCUUCGGGGUGAUGGGGACUCACAGGAGACCGCCGGGGUCAACUCGGAGGAAGGUGGGGACGACGUCAAGUCAUCAUGCCCCUUAUGCCUUGGGCUGCACACGUGCUACAAUGGCCGGUACAAAGAGCUGCGAUGCCGCGAGGCGGAGCGAAUCUCAAAAAGCCGGUCUCAGUUCGGAUUGGGGUCUGCAACUCGACCCCAUGAAGUCGGAGUUGCUAGUAAUCGCAGAUCAGCAUUGCUGCGGUGAAUACGU